UACCAUGCAGUCGAGCGCCCCGCAAGGGGAGCGGCAGACGGGUGAGUAACGCGUGGGAAUCUACCCAGCCCUACGGAAUAACCCAGGGAAACUUGGACUAAUACCGUAUACGUCCGAUAGGAGAAAGAUUUAUCGGGGUUGGAUGAGCCCGCGUUGGAUUAGCUAGUUGGUGGGGUAAAGGCCUACCAAGGCGACGAUCCAUAGCUGGUCUGAGAGGAUGAUCAGCCACACUGGGACUGAGACACGGCCCAGACUCCUACGGGAGGCAGCAGUGGGGAAUAUUGGACAAUGGGCGAAAGCCUGAUCCAGCCAUGCCGCGUGAGUGAUGAAGGCCCUAGGGUUGUAAAGCUCUUUCAACGGUGAAGAUAAUGACGGUAACCGUAGAAGAAGCCCCGGCUAACUUCGUGCCAGCAC
RNAcentral lists this ribosomal RNA (414 nucleotides) under uncultured bacterium. RNAcentral's name for it is "bacterial SSU rRNA". It matches the Rfam family "Bacterial small subunit ribosomal RNA", at positions 52 to 514 of the family's 1533-position model. The record is from RNAcentral.